Molecule: ribosomal RNA, 872 nt
Filed under: Salmonella enterica subsp. enterica serovar Infantis
Lineage: Bacteria; Pseudomonadati; Pseudomonadota; Gammaproteobacteria; Enterobacterales; Enterobacteriaceae
Description: partial 23S ribosomal RNA
Rfam family: Bacterial large subunit ribosomal RNA
Source: RNAcentral
AUGCAGUGUACCCGCGGCAAGACGGAAAGACCCCGUGAACCUUUACUAUAGCUUGACACUGAACAUUGAGCCUUGAUGUGUAGGAUAGGUGGGAGGCUUUGAAGCGUGGACGCCAGUCUGCGUGGAGCCGACCUUGAAAUACCACCCUUUAAUGUUUGAUGUUCUAACGUGGAUCCGUAAUCCGGGUUGCGGACAGUGUCUGGUGGGUAGUUUGACUGGGGCGGUCUCCUCCUAAAGAGUAACGGAGGAGCACGAAGGUUGGCUAAUCCUGGUCGGACAUCAGGAGGUUAGUGCAAUGGCAUAAGCCAGCUUGACUGCGAGCGUGACGGCGCGAGCAGGUGCGAAAGCAGGUCAUAGUGAUCCGGUGGUUCUGAAUGGAAGGGCCAUCGCUCAACGGAUAAAAGGUACUCCGGGGAUAACAGGCUGAUACCGCCCAAGAGUUCAUAUCGACGGCGGUGUUUGGCACCUCGAUGUCGGCUCAUCACAUCCUGGGGCUGAAGUAGGUCCCAAGGGUAUGGCUGUUCGCCAUUUAAAGUGGUACGCGAGCUGGGUUUAGAACGUCGUGAGACAGUUCGGUCCCUAUCUGCCGUGGGCGCUGGAGAACUGAGGGGGGCUGCUCCUAGUACGAGAGGACCGGAGUGGACGCAUCACUGGUGUUCGGGUUGUCAUGCCAAUGGCACUGCCCGGUAGCUAAAUGCGGAAGAGAUAAGUGCUGAAAGCAUCUAAGCACGAAACUUGCCCCGAGAUGAGUUCUCCCUGAGACUUAGAGUCUCCUGAAGGAACGUUGAAGACGACGACGUUGAUAGGCCGGGUGUGUAAGCGCAGCGAUGCGUUGAGCUAACCGGUACUAAUGAACCGUGAGGCUUAACCUU